GUGUGGGAGCAAGACCUAGAGGUUUCUCUUCUUUUCUUUUUUGGUUGUGCCUGCAGCAUGUAAAAGUUCCAAGGCCAGGGAUGGUACCCAUGCCACAAGCAGUGACCUAAGCCACUGCAGUGACAAAGCCAGAUCCUUAACCCGCUGUGUCACAAGAGAACUAGAAGUUUCUGAUGUACCAUUUCAAUCGAUCAUAGGAACACCAUGCUCCCACCCUGGGUGAUUCCUCCUGGACUUGUGCCUCCCACCCCUUCGGGGACCCCAUCUUGGCCUCUUGUCUUGGCCUCACAGCACUCAAGACUCGGUUGGACUAGUAAUUCUGGUCUUCUUGGUGUCCCCCUCAGACCCAUUGUCCCACCUAAUCUCUGACCAAGGUUCCACUCUGUAUUUGUGAAUGAACUUCUUGUGAAUAGAAAUACUUUCUAAUCACAGAUGGCCUGAUCGAAAAAACCAAAAGGCUGGGAGUUCCCACUGUGGCUCAGUGGGUUAAGGGCCCAACGUUGUCUCUAUGAAGAUGCCCUGGCCUUGCUCAGUGGGUUAAGGAUCUGGCAUUGCUGCAAGCUGUGGCAUAGGCUGUAGAUACAGCUUGGAUCCUAUGUUGCUGUGGCUGUGGUGUAGGCCUGCAGCUGCAGCUCCGAUUAGAUGUCCAGCAUAGGAACUGCCUUCUGUAUGCCACAAGUGUGGCCAUAGAAAGAAAAAAAAAGGGGGAAAAAAAUCUGAAGGCCGAAUUGCUCUACAACAUGGACCCAGUAACUAAAGAGGAAGACAAUCUGAGAAGAGCCCAAUGGCUCCUGGGUGGAGGUGACUCCUGUGGUUCAGAGAGUGGGCUCAGGAGCCCAGCGGUACUUUAAAGUGAAGGAUAACUUGAUCCCCAUGCUGUACAGCGGGAAAAAAAAUAAAAUAAAAUAAAAUGAGGGUUAGUAGGGAGUUCCCUGGUGGCAUAGUGGGCUAAGGAUCCAGCAGUUGUUACUCUGGCCCAUGUUGAUGAUGUGGUGUGGGUUUGAUACCUGGCCUUGGAACUUCCAUGUGCUAUGGGCAUGGACAAAAAGAAGAAAAAUGUGGAUAAACAUAGAUAACCAACCUUAUGGGGUUGUCUUGACAAUUAAAUGAGAUUAUCCACAUAAGAUGCUUAGUGUACGUUGUCUAGAGUGUGCACUCAAAUAUAUACUUUUGGUAUUAGUAUCAUCAAAUUAAUAUUAUUAUUAUGCAUUGCUUUUAAUUAAUCUCUCUGAUAGCAGAUCUUAAUUAGGCACUUGUCUUCUGUCUGAGUUCAUUUCUUCAUCCACUUAUUCAUCAAAGGUCUCUUGAACAUCUACUAUGUGUCAGACACUCUUCAAGGUGCUAGAUCGACCUUCAUAAACAAAACAGAGAGCCCUGAUUUUUGUUUGUUUAAAGAAGAUUUAUUGUAUAAAGUCAAAGUGCAUUCUUAGAUGAAAAAAUUGUGCUUUGAAGAUCAAACAAUUAAAUCAGAAAGCUUAUUUUCUUAUUUAAUAUGUGUAUAAGACAAAUUUAUUUUAUACAAAAAGAAAAUGGGCCAUCCCAAAUAUAACUUUACCAUUCCUGGCAUGGAAUUUUUAUUUGGGUUUGGGGAGACAAACAAUACUCUAUAAACCAAGUAAAUAAAUUACAUAAUAUAGAUGCUAUGGGGAAAAGAGAAUUUGAGCAGAGAAAGGGGGGGGUGCGAGUCCUCGGGGAUAGGUGCAAGCAGCACAGGGCCCCAUGAGAAGGUGACAUUUAAGCAAAGACUUGAGGGGAGAAGGAGUUAAAUGUGAGGCUCUCUGAAGGCAGAGCAGCCAGACGGGGGCGGGGGGGGGGCGCGGGGGGCAGGGAAUGGCCAGGGCAGAGGCUUGAGAUGUGAGUGAGCCCAGCAUGUGCAAAGCCAGCAAGGAAUAGAGAGAGAGGGGAAUUAAGGUUUUCAAUAUUUGUGUCAAGGGGAGCCUUAUAGGGUUUUGAGCAAAGAAGGGACUAAGUUCUCAUCCACAGAUGGGGCAGAGGUGGGUAGCCCAGCUCCUCAUGUCCAGCCAAUGUAACUUUUCCCACCAAGCUUCAUCCUUUCGAAAAGGCAUCAGCGUCUUUACCAAGGUUUUGCCUUAAUCCAGACUCAUGUGGGCCAAACGUCCCCACUGUACCUUCAUGUGAUUAUAUUUCUGAUUAAGACAAGCCCUAAAUGAGAUAAUUAGCCGUGAGAUAAAUAAACAAGUCACAAUUUAUGAUUUUUCCAAAUGCUGUUGCUGCUUAUGGAUGUCAGCUGUAGUUUCUAGGCAAUACUAAAUCCAUCAUUGUAGAGAGAUUAUGUGCAUAAUUAUGGAGACAUAGUUAUCCACACUAUUUUUCUGGGUUAAUAAAUUCAGGAUUCUGUUGAUAUCUUUUCCCCCUCUGUGUUCUACAUGUUUCUUGAAAAUGCUUAGUUUCUGAUCCUUUGCUAAUUUGGUUAUAGGUAAGGUCACGACUCAACAGUAUGAUACAAUUUCCUCUGGAGCAGCUAUUCAACUUAAUCCGGAAGGCAGUAAGUAAUACACUUAUAAGCUCAAUCAAAUCUAAUUAAAUUGAAUUGGAUUUCCUCAUUUAGGUUUUAAUUUAUUACGUACUGGGAACUUAGGGGUUUUUUUGACUUCAUUUAAACUCAGAUGGGAGUUCCCGUCGUGGCUCAGUGGUUAAUGAAUCCCAGAGGAACCAUGAGGUUGCAGGUUUGAUCCCUGGUCUUGCUCAGUGGGUUAAGAAUCGGGCAUUGCUGUGAGCUGUGGGCAUUGCAGACACAGCUUGGAUCCCACGUUGCUGUGGCUGUGGUGUAGGCAGGUGACUACAGCUCCAAUUGGACCCCUAGCCUGGGAACCUCCAUAUGCCUCGGGUGUGGUCCUAGAAAAGGCAAAAAAAUAAAUAAAAUAAAUAAAUAAACUCAGAUGAAUGCUGCAUUAAAACAAGGAGGAGGUUCUCUUAAAAUAGCAUGUUCUGUUAAAAAUCUACUUCACAAUGAUGUAGAAGGAAACCCAGAUAAAGUAUGUAAUUGUUAUGAAUGAUAACAUGGUUGCUUCCCAAUGACAGUUCUUUAGCAUCUUGGUCAAUGUAGCAAUGAAAUCUGUUUGGAAGCAGAGUUGAAACUUAAACAUUUAGGAUAUUGAAAGAUUGAAUAGAUUUAAUGAUCAGCUCAGCUUCCAUGGGAAGUAAGCUUCUAAUGGGAGUAUCAAUUUUUGCUAUUGUUGGGUAGAAGGACUGAAGGCAUCUGGUUUGAAUUUAUUUGUCUUCUAAGACAGUUUUCCAUUUAUUAUCCCUAAUAUAAUGUAGGUUACGAGAGAGAGUAUAAUAGUACAGCAGAUAUUCCAUGUGUAUGUGGAUAAUUUUGAAAAUUAAAAGAGUGGUUUCCUCAGUGGCCUCUCUAGACAUGGCAGAGCAGUGGCUGGGACCCGAAGUGCCUUCAGAAGAGUUGCGAGAAAUGUAUGAUGAAGCAUCCCAGCUAAGAGGACAAGGGUAGCUGACAACCAGCUAUAUCUGGGCGGCAGCAGGGAGUGGUGAGGACUGUGGUAAACUGGAGAGACAACCCAUCUAAAUGGGUCAGCCCCUUCUCAGCCAAUUCCUGCCAUAUGAAAACAAAAGCCUAGUGUUUCCAGAUCUUCUGAUUUUUUCAAAAACACAAAUUCUGAUUUUUAUGUGUCGAUUUUUUUGUGUGUGUCUCUUAUUAGGGCUGCACCUGUGGCACAUGGAAGUUCCCAGGCUAGGGGUCAAAUUGGCGCUGUAGCCACUGGCCUAUACCACAGCCACAGCAAUGCCAGAUCCAAGCCAUGUCUGUGACUUACACCACAGCUCAUGGGAACGCUAGAUCCUCCACUCACUGAGUGAAGCCAUGGAUCAAACCUGCAUCCUCAUGGAUACUAGUGAGAUCUGUUUCUGCUGAGCCAUGAAAGGAACUCCAUAUGUGUCAAAUUUUCCGAUUUUUUAAAUGUUCCAGCUAGUUAAAAACCAACAAUAGGAGUUCCCUGGUGACCUAGUGGAUAAGGGUCUGGUAUUGUCACUGCUGUGGCUCAGGUCCAAUCCUUGACCCUGAAACUUCUGCAUAUCUUAGGUGGAAACAACAACAGUCUAUGUAGGUCCAGCAAAACAAGCCUGCAGGACAAGUUCAGUCCAUAGCCUGCCUCUUUGUCACGUCUUGGUGUACAUUUCAGCCAUUGGAACUGAGACACCAAGGGAGAUUUUAUAUUUGUAAUUGGGUUCCAGAAGUCUCAUUUCUUACUGCCCUGUGUCAAGAAAUUGCCCCAUCACAAAUAGCUAUUGUUGUUAUUAGGAACAGGGGCUAUUACUGGAGUCAUUUACAAUUAUUACAUAGUGACUGUAAAUGUACUAACAAUAAGUACACAGAAUUUAACAUAUUUCUGAUUUUCCAAAUAUGUUAAUAUUUUAAUCUUAUAUUAGUGUGCAAAAAUAACUAAGUCACAUUAGAACAAAUUUGUAAGCCCAGUUGCACUACAAAAAUCUGAGGCACGGGAAUUCCCAUCAUGGCUCAGUGGGUUAAGAACCUGACUAGUAUCCAUGAGGAUGCAGGUUCAAUCCCUGGCCUAGCUCAGUGGGUUAAGGAUCCAGCAUUGCUGUGAGCUGAGGCAUAGGAUGCAAAUGUGGCUCAGAUCUGGCAGGGCUGGGGCUGUGGCCUUGGCUGCAGCUCUGAUUCAAUCCCUAGUCUGGAACUUCCAUAUGCCAAAGGUGUGGCCAUAAAAAAAGUAAAAAAUAAAAAAACAAACAAAAAUCUGAGGCACAGAACAAUUAAUUAUAUUACCCAACUUCACACAAAUAAGGUAAUGGUAAACCUGAGAUUAAACUUCAGGUUUAUUUACUCGGAUUGAUGAGCUUUUUCUACAAUCUAGACUUGUUACCUUUAUAUGUCAAGUUAUUACCAAACAAUACUGAAUACCAUUUUAAGAAAAAAGAAGUAUAACAUUAGUGUGUUGGGAAGAUACGCAAUAUGCAUGACACACUCCUGAGAAAAUCUGUAAUAAAAUAAAGGAACUUUCUUUCCCCCUCUUUGGGCCAUGCCCAUGGCAUGUGGAAGUUCUGGGGCCAGGAAUCCAACCCACGCCACAGCUAAAACCAGAGCCACAGCAGUGACAAUGCUGGAUCCUUAACUCACUGAGCCACCAGGGCAUUCCUGGGAACUUCUGCUAAAAUACAAAUAUGUGCAUAAAAUUUUUUGAAUUAAUUUUUUGUGGAAUUAACCUUUCAGUUAUCUGUUCCAGGAUCAUUGCAAGAUGAAAGAAUGCAUUUGUUCUGAAAAAGAAUGGAUGUGUGUAUACGUAUAACUGAAUCACUCUGUUGUACAGCACAAAUUAUCACAGCAUUGUAAAUAAACUAUACUUAAUAGAACUUUAAAAAAUGAAAAAAUAGGAGUUCCCGUGGUGGUGCAGUGGAAACGAAUCCGACUAGGAACCAUGAGGUUGCGGGUUUGAUCCCUGGACUUGCUCAGUGGGUUAAGGAUCUGCCGUUGCCAUGAGCUGUGUGUAGGUCACAGACCCCUAGCCUGGGAACCUCCAUAUACUUUGGGUGAGGCCCUAAAAAGCAAAAAAAAAAAAAAAAAGAAAAAAUAUAUUUGUUAAAGAAAUAGAUCAAACACAUAAAAGAGACAGAAUAGAUGUUAUGUGUCUUUUAUUGGUGAUAUUUGAAUUCCCAAGUUCACAUAGAAAUGAUUUCAUAAAUAUCCUUUAGUUUUUAUCUUGCAUUUUAAGUGUUUUUAAUUGUUAGUCUAUUCUUAUAAUCAAACCCUUAAUUUAAUCACAAAUGGAACUAAAAUAUGCUGUCUUUUUUUCCGAUUCAAUUAGAAAAGAUAUUGAGAAACUUUGAAAUUAGAACCCUAAAAGCUAGUAAAAGAGCCUUAAUUGUCAGAUUAGAAAUGGACACUUCCCUCCAAAAGUUACAAAAGUUCUUAUAUAUUCAUUGAAAAAUGCUUACCCAGAAUUAAUAACUGCCCAGAAGGAAAGAGUCUGUUAUAAAAUUGUUUUGUUGAUAUAUUUUUUAAAGCAGGAAAAAAAAAUUCUUUCUAAAAUGCUUUGUUUGGCUAAUUCUAGGACAGCAUCCCUUGUCUCAUCAAGGACUAAAAUGAUCCA
RNAcentral lists this long non-coding RNA (6083 nucleotides) under Sus scrofa (pig). RNAcentral's name for it is "lncRNA (ENSSSCG00000063495.1)". Lineage: Eukaryota; Metazoa; Chordata; Mammalia; Artiodactyla; Suidae. The record is from RNAcentral.